CAGCCGCCACGGUAAUACGUAGGCAGCAAGCGUUGUUCGGAGUUACUGGGCGUAAAGGGUGCGUAGGCGGUUCUAUAAGUAUGGUGUGAAAUCUCCCGGCUUAACUGGGAGGGUGCGCUAUAAACUGUGGGACUAGAGUGUGGGAGAGGAAAGUGGAAUUCCUGGUGUAGCGGCGAAAUGCGUAGAUAUCAGGAGGAACACCGGUGGUGUAAACGGCUUUCUGGACCAUAACUGACGCUGAGGCACGAAAGCGUGGGUAGCAAACAGGAUUAGAUACCCCCGUAGUCCCUGUCUCUUAUAC
RNAcentral lists this ribosomal RNA (301 nucleotides) under uncultured bacterium. RNAcentral describes it as "partial 16S ribosomal RNA". It matches the Rfam family "Bacterial small subunit ribosomal RNA", at positions 509 to 807 of the family's 1533-position model. The record is from RNAcentral.